UACAGAGGUCUCAAGCGUUGUUCGGAAUUACUGGGCGUAAAGGGCGCGUAGGCGGCCUUGUCAGUCAGACGUGAAAUCCCCAGGCUUAACCUGGGAACUGCGUCUGAUACUACAAGGCUGGAGUUCGGGAGAGGAAUGUGGAAUUCCAGGUGUAGCGGUGAAAUGCGUAGAUAUCUGGAGGAACACCGGUGGCGAAGGCGGCAUUCUGGACCGAAACUGACGCUGAUGCGCGGAAGCCAGGGGAGCAAACGGG
This 253-nucleotide ribosomal RNA is filed under the name uncultured bacterium. Its description in RNAcentral is "partial 16S ribosomal RNA". It matches the Rfam family "Bacterial small subunit ribosomal RNA", at positions 524 to 776 of the family's 1533-position model. The record is from RNAcentral.